Molecule: ribosomal RNA, 456 nt
Filed under: uncultured bacterium
Lineage: Bacteria
Description: bacterial SSU rRNA
Rfam family: Bacterial small subunit ribosomal RNA
Source: RNAcentral
UACGGAAGGCAGCAGUGGGGAAUAUUGCACAAUGGGCGAAAGCCUGAUGCAGCUAUGCCGCGUGUAUGAAGAAGGCCUUAGGGUUGUAAAGUACUUUCAUCGGGGAGGAAAAAACAAAACUAAUAAUUUUAUUUCUUGACGUUACCCGAAAAAGAAGCACCGGCUAACUCCGUGCCAGCAGCCGCGGUAAUACGGAGGGUGCUAGCGUUAAUCAGAAUUACUGGGCGUAAAGAGCACGUAGGUGGUUUUUUUAAGUCAGAUGUGAAAUCCCUGGGCUUAACCUAGGAACUGCAUUUUGAAACUGAAGUACUAGAGUAUCGUAGAGGGAGGUAGAAUUCUAGGUGUAGCGGUGAAAUGCGUAGAUAUCUGGAGGAAUACCUGUGGCGAAAGCGGCCUCCUAAACGAAUACUGACACUGAGGUGCGAAAGCGUGGGGAGCAAACAGGGAUUAGAUACC